Molecule: non-coding RNA, 145 nt
Filed under: Solanum lycopersicum (tomato)
Lineage: Eukaryota; Viridiplantae; Streptophyta; Magnoliopsida; Solanales; Solanaceae
Description: Bacterial large subunit ribosomal RNA
Rfam family: Bacterial large subunit ribosomal RNA
Source: Rfam by way of RNAcentral
UGAGAGGACCUUUCCCUAGUACGAGAGGACCGGGGACGACGCACCUCUGGUGUACCAGAUAUCGUGCCCACGGUAAACACUGGGUAGCCAAGUGCGGAGCGGAUAAAUGCUGAUGCUGUUAAAGCUCAUGUCAACACCUUGAUUA